CCUACGGGAGGCAGCAGUGGGGAAUAUUGCGCAAUGGGCGAAAGCCUGACGCAGCGACGCCGCGUGAGGGAUGAAGGUCUUCGGAUCGUAAACCUCUGUCAGCAGGGAAGAACGGUCAAUGUGCUAAUCAGCAGUGAAUUGACGGUACCUGCAAAGGAAGCACCGGCUAACUCCGUGCUAGCAGCCGCGGUAAUACGGAGGGUGCGAGCGUUAAUGGGAAUUACUGGGCGUAAAGCGCUCGUAGGCGGUAUGUCAAGUCAAGGGUGAAAUCCCCGCGCUCAACGUGGGAACUGCCUUUGAAACUGGCAAACUGGAGUGUGUGAGAGGAUAGUGGAAUUCCAGGUGUAGGGGUGAAAUGCGUAGAUAUUUGGAGGAACAUCAGUGGCGAAGGCGACUAUCUGGCACAUAACUGACGCUGAGGAGCGAAAGCGUGGGUAGCAAACAGGAUUAGAUACCCUAGUAGUC
RNAcentral lists this ribosomal RNA (465 nucleotides) under uncultured bacterium. RNAcentral describes it as "partial 16S ribosomal RNA". It matches the Rfam family "Bacterial small subunit ribosomal RNA", at positions 338 to 795 of the family's 1533-position model. The record is from RNAcentral.